Molecule: ribosomal RNA, 468 nt
Filed under: uncultured bacterium
Lineage: Bacteria
Description: partial 16S ribosomal RNA
Rfam family: Bacterial small subunit ribosomal RNA
Source: RNAcentral
GACGAACGCUGGCGGCGUGCUUAACACAUGCAAGUCGAACGGAAAGGCCCUGCUCUUGUGGGGUGCUCGAGUGGCGAACGGGUGAGUAACACGUGAGUAACCUGCCCUUGACUUUGGGAUAACUUCAGGAAACUGGGGCUAAUACCGGAUAGGAGCUCCUGCUGCACGGUGGGGGUUGGAAAGUUUCGGCGGUUGGGGAUGGACUCGCGGCUUAUCAGCUUGUUGGUGUGGUAGUGGCUUACCAAGGCUUUGACGGGUAGCCGGCCUGAGAGGGUGACCGGCCACAAUGGGACUAAGAGACGGCCCAGACUCCUACGGGAGGCAGCAGUGGGGAAUAUUGCGCAAUGGGCGGAAGCCUGAUACAGCAACGCCGCGUGCGGGAUAACGGCCUUCGGGUUGUAAACCGCUUUCGCCUGUGACGAAGCGUGAGUGACGGUAAUGGGUAAAGAAGCACCGGCUAACUACGUG